GAUGAACGCAGGCGGCGUGCCUAAUACAUGCAAGUCGAGCGAACAGACGAGGAGCUUGCUCCUCUGACGUUAGCGGCGGACGGGUGAGUAACACGUGGAUAACCUACCUAUAAGACUGGGAUAACUUCGGGAAACCGGAGCUAAUACCGGAUAAUAUAUUGAACCGCAUGGUUCAAUAGUGAAAGACGGUUUUGCUGUCACUUAUAGAUGGAUCCGCGCCGCAUUAGCUAGUUGGUAAGGUAACGGCUUACCAAGGCGACGAUGCGUAGCCGACCUGAGAGGGUGAUCGGCCACACUGGAACUGAGACACGGUCCAGACUCCUACGGGAGGCAGCAGUAGGGAAUCUUCCGCAAUGGGCGAAAGCCUGACGGAGCAACGCCGCGUGAGUGAUGAAGGUCUUCGGAUCGUAAAACUCUGUUAUUAGGGAAGAACAAAUGUGUAAGUAACUAUGCACGUCUUGACGGUACCUAAUCAGAAAGCCACGGCUAACUACGUG
This 497-nucleotide ribosomal RNA is filed under the name uncultured bacterium. RNAcentral describes it as "partial 16S ribosomal RNA". It matches the Rfam family "Bacterial small subunit ribosomal RNA", at positions 28 to 507 of the family's 1533-position model. The record is from RNAcentral.